UGUGUGUGUGUGUGUGUGUGUGUGUGUGUGUGUGUGUGUGAGUGUAUGUAUACAUACAUACAUACAUACACACAC
Molecule: microRNA precursor, 75 nt
Filed under: Vicugna pacos (alpaca)
Lineage: Eukaryota; Metazoa; Chordata; Mammalia; Artiodactyla; Camelidae
Description: miRNA (ENSVPAG00000015529.1)
Source: RNAcentral